AAGUAAACGAAAUUAUUAAAUUUACAAAAUUACUUACAUUUACCAUUUUAAAAUUGUAUUUAUUUCUUUUGAAACAACUGUUUGACAGCAAAAUGCUUUUCACCUCAAUUGGUGACUUUUUAAAGCUUUUUUCUUAUGAGGUUCGAGCCAGAAUAGACUCACAAAAUAUACGUCACAAGAAACCUCACAAAUUUUUCCUCCCAACUCAGUUAUGAGGUUUUUUCAGAAUAGGGCUGCUAUUCUCAUGCCCUCACAAAAAUCACCACACUCACUACUGUGAGGUUUUUGGAUUUUGUGAUGAUUACCUUAUGCUGGAGAAAAUUCAAAAGCUCAAAUGCUCACAAUUUUCUCAAAUAUCUGUGACGUGUGAAAGCAGCAAUCACAAUUCAAAAAUAUUUGUGUUUGUUUUGGUUUUUAGCAAUAUUUGGAAACAAAUGUGUAAAUAUUUGGGUGCUAUAACGAGCAUGGAGGAAUUGUUCUUUGUGUGUGCGGCUAUUAUUGAGGAGCAGGAGGAAUCAGUGAGUAGGAGGAAAAUUUUGAAGAGUUUGCGAGACACAAGCGAUCCGUUUACCAUGCAAGACACAUCAUUUAUAAAUACAUUUCGAUUUCAAAAGUCGCUAUGUAAAGUUCUUAUAGAUGAAUUAGUGCCGCAUGAUGUGCAGAAGUCGAAUAUUCCUUUUACUCUGCGAUUCCUGGCGUGCUUGUACUUUUACGGGCAUGGCUCUUACCAAAAAUGCGUUGGGAAUAGUUAUAUACUUUCUAUGAGCCAGUCCUCUGUGUCUAGAGCUCUACAUUUUGUAUCUAAAAUAAUUUAUUUCCCUUCAAGCGCGCAGGAUGUUUCAGAUACAAAGAGAGGAUUUUACAUGAAAUUUGGGAUCAAGGGCACAAUCGGCGCAAUCGAUUGUACUCAUAUUGGAAUUGUUUCACCCCCGAGCACAGACGCCUCCACUCCACUCUCACUUUUUAUGAAUCGGAAUCGGAUUUUACAGCCUUAAUGUAGAAGCAGUUUGUGAUCAUCGACUACUGUUCACCGCUGUCAACGCGAGAUAUCCCGGGUCUUGUCAUGAUUCUGGUAUUUGGACUACAUCCCCAACACGUCUGCACCUCAUAAGUACCUAUAACAUACAAAGUGAUUCGUGGUUGUUAGGUGACCAAGGAUAUCCAUUGGAGCCAUGGCUGUUAACGUCAGUCGCUGAACCUGUAAAUGCAAGGGAAGUGCGUUACAAUAAGUUACACGCCAAAGCAAAGCCUCUCAAAACACCGCAUUCUUCAUUAUAGCCCUGAAAAAGCGGCUAUGAUUAUUUACGCAUGUACCAUUCUUCACAACAUUUUACUGAAGCAUGGCGUGGCUGCUGACCUUGGUUUCGAAGAAGUUUUAGAAGAAUCACAAGACAUUGACGAAAUUGUUAUCGAAUACCCCAAUUUUAGGGAGGGUGCUAGAGUUAGAGAACGCUAUAUCAUGUCUUUAUAAUAUACAUAUAUCCACAGGCGUUAUGUACUAUAAAUAUAAGUAUUUAUUUUGUUUAUUACUCUUAACAUGUUACUUACUGUCUUUGUA
This is a long non-coding RNA of Zeugodacus cucurbitae (melon fly), 1558 nucleotides long. RefSeq lists it as uncharacterized. NCBI's taxonomy places the organism in Eukaryota, Metazoa, Arthropoda, Insecta, Diptera, Tephritidae. The transcript is spliced from 3 exons. The record is from RefSeq and is a predicted model, not a curated record.